AGAAAUAGCAAAAAGACAAAAAAAAAAAAAAAAAAAAAAUUGAAGUAUAGUUGAUUUACAGUGGUUGUGUUAGUUUUUGGUGUAGGGCAGAGUGAUUCAGAUAUAUGUAUUUUUUCUUUUUAUAUUCUUUUCCAUUGUGGUUUAUUAUAGGAUAUUGAAUCUCGUUCCCUGUGCUAUACAGUAGGACUUUGUUGUUUAUCUUUUUUAUAUAUAGUAGUUUGUAACUGCUAAUCUCAAACUUCUAGUUUACCUCCCCUAUCCCUUUUCCCCUUUGGUAACCAUGAAUCUGUGAGUUUUCUGUCUGUAAGUCUGUUUCUGUUUUGUAAAUAAAUUCAUUUGUAUAAUUUUAAGUCAUAGCAUAUAGUAUUGGUCUUUCUGGCUUACUUCACAUAUGAUAAUCUCUAGGUUAUUCAUAUUGUUGCAGUGGCAUUAUUUCAUUCUUUUUUAUGGCUGAGAAGUUGCAGCGAUUUUAUAGACCAUAACUACCACUAAUAAUGAAACACAACUGUAUAUGAUUCAUUUGACAUUUAAUAAGUUUAAAAAAAUUUUUUUUUUGUUCCACCCAUGGCAUAUGGAAGUUCCUGGGCCAGGGAUCAGAUUAAAGCCACAGCUGUGACCUGCGCAACACUGGAUCCUUAAUGCACUGUACCACAGGGGAACUCCUCAUUUGACAUUUUAAAGAAUCUUUUUUUUUUUCCCCACACCCAAGGAAUGUGGAAGUUCCCAGGUCAGGGCUCAAACACAUGUCACCGCAGCGAUCUGAGCCACUGCAGUGAUAAUGCUGGAUCCUUAACCUACUAUACCACAAGAGAACUCCUUAAGGAAUCAUUCUGAUUGCUGUGUGGAGUGUGCUUAAAUCAAGAGAAGCAAUUAGGAAGCUGGGAGACCAGCAUAUAUGUAAUUUUGAAAGUUUCUGUUGGAGUUCCUGUUGUGGUGUAGUGGAAAUGAUUCUGACUAGUAUCCAUGAGGAUGUGGGUUUGCUCAGUGGGUUAAAAAUCCGGCUUUGCCAUAAGCUGUGGUAUAGGUUACAGAUGCAGCUCAGAUCCCAUGUUGCUGUGGCUGUGGUGUAGGCUGGCAGCCACAGCUCCGAUUUGACCCCUAGCCUGGGCACUUCCAUAUGCUGCAGGUGUGGACCUAAAAAAACAAAAAAACGAAACAAAACAAAAAAGCAAAAAAAAUUUUCUACUAAGCACAUUAAAAAGCCACAGACAGCUGUAACACUGUAUUGGACAGUGAAGAUAUGGAACAUUUAUUCAUUUACUCAUUCAACCAAGCAAUAUCUUGUUCUAGGCCUGGAAAUAUACAGAAUGGUAUAAAGCCCAAUCUCUGUUCUCUAAGUGCACACAGUCCAGCAAAGGAGAUUAAUAUAACAGCUUGUGUUGAAGACUGCACAACAAAGUGCUUUGAAAGGCCAGGAAGGAAGCACCCAGACCAUGGGGUGGGGGCAUGGAAGAGGAGCUAGACAUUGGCUUGGGACUUGAAGGUUGUGUAGGAGGUCCCCAGGUGGCAGAAGUAGGGAAAGGCAUUCCAAGCAGUGAGAACUGCUUAUGCAAAGUCCCAGAGAAAGAAUGCAGCGUGUCUCAGGGAAGUGCACGCAGUGGUUUAUGGCUGGAGUGUGGGGUAUGAAAUGGGAGGGGGGUGGGCCAGGAAAGACGAGGGUCUCACAGACCAGUCUAUGGAAUGUAGAACUUAUCCUGUUCAGGAGUUGCGGGAAACAGAGAGAAAGCUGAGCGAGGUGACCAGAUCUGCGCUUUAGCUAGAUCAUCCUGGCAGUGUGGGAGGGGUAGAAAUUGGAGGCAGAAAGACCCGUUAGGAAGGGAAGGGGCCCUAGGGUGGAUCCAGAGGAAAGAGCCACAGAGACCGAGAAGGGGCAAAGAGGAGGGAGGGCAAAGGGUGGUGCCAAGUGUCCCGUGGAGUAGGACAGGACAUGCAGACCUUAGCAUGCCAGAGGCUGGUGCAGGUUUGCUGACCCUCCAGAGUCCACCAAAUGGCAGAGGGUUUGAGCACCAGCGAGAGCCUAAUAUUUGGUAAAGUGGAACCGGGUGUGGGUUUUGGGGCUGAACCACUACGUGGCCUUGUUCAAAAGACUUAAUAUUUCUAACUGCAAAAAUGGGAUUAAAUGUAAGACCAGCUUUAUGGAGAUGGACAGGCUUACUGUAGCUGGGCCACUCUGUGUGGUGCUUGGCACAUCCUGGCCCUCAGUACACAUGGUAGCAGUCAUGUUUGCUAUGCUUUGAGUGCCCUGGGCCUCAGUCCUCACAAAAAUGUGAUUGCCACCUCCCACUUGCUGCUACUCAAGGAACAGAUGAGAUGAUUGAAUUCCAUUUGCACUUCUGACUAAAGGCAAAUGUGAUCAAAAGAUUAAACACAGCAAUUCGAGGCUUAGGAAUAUGCCCAAGAGAAAUGAAAGCAUAUGUCCACACAAAAACUUGUGCACAGAAGUUCCUGCUGUAGCUCAGUGAUAAACAAACCUGGCUAGUACCCAUAAGGACUCAGAUCCCUGGCCUUGCUCAGUGGGUUAAGACAGUUGCUGUGAGCUGUGGCGUAGGUCGUAGGUGCGGCUCAGAUCCCACAUUGCUGUGGCUGUGGUGUAGGCCAGCAGCUACAGCUCCGAUUGAACCCCUAGUCUGGGAACCUCCAUAUGGUGCAGGUGCGGCCCUAAAAAGACAAAAAAACUCCAAAAAACCUUGUACACAAAUAUCCAUGACAUUUGUUCAUAUUCAUGGCUUGAAAGUUCAUAUUCACUGUAGCCAAAAAAGUGGAAGCAAUCUAUUAACUAAUAAAUAGAUCAACAGAAUGUGGUCUGUCCACGCAAUAGAAUGUUAUUCAGUCAUAAAAAGGAAUGAAAUUCUGACAGAGAUUGCAGCAUGGAUGAGCCUGGAAGACAUCCUCGAAAGACAUCAGCCAUGCAAGACCGUGUAUUGUAUGUUUCCAUUUAUGUGAGAUAAGUGUUCAGAAUAGGCAGAUCUGUAGAGGUGGAAAGAUUAGUGAUUGCCUCCGGCUGGGAGAGCUCAGGAAGGUGGAGGUGACUGCUAGUGGGUAUGAGUUUUAUUUUGGAGAGAGAGGCAUGUUCUCAAGUUGUUUGUCAUGAUGAUUGCACAACUCUGUGUGUACCAAAUGCUGUUGAAUUGUACAUUUAAAUGGCUGGAUGUGGAAUUCCCAUCGUGGCUCAGUGGUUAACGAAUCCGACUGGGAACCAUGAGGUUGUUGGUUUGAUCCCUGGCCUUGCUCAGUGGGUUAAGGAUCUGGCGUUGCCAUGAGCUGUGGUGUAGGUUGCAGACACGGCUCGGAUCCCGCAUUGCUAUGGCUCUGGCAUAGGCCAGCGGCUAUGGCUCCGAUUCGACCCCCUAGUCCGGGAACCUCCAU
This 3366-nucleotide long non-coding RNA is filed under the name Sus scrofa (pig). Its description in RNAcentral is "lncRNA (ENSSSCG00055026571.1)". Lineage: Eukaryota; Metazoa; Chordata; Mammalia; Artiodactyla; Suidae. The record is from RNAcentral.